CCUACGGGAGGCAGCAGUGGGGAAUAUUGCACAAUGGGGGAAACCCUGAUGCAGCGACGCCGCGUGAGUGAAGAAGUAUGUCGGUAUGUAAAGCUCUAUCAGCAGGGAAGAAAAUGACGGUACCUGAUUAAGAAGCCACGGCUAACUACGUGCCAGCAGCCGCAGUAAGACGUAGGGGGCAAGCGUUAUCCGGAUUUACUGGGUGUAAAGGGAGCGUAGACGGCAGCACAAGUCUGGAGUGAAAUGCCGUGGCUUAACCCCGGAACUGCUUUGGAAACUGUGCAGCUAGAGUGCAGGAGAGGUAAGUGGAAUGCCUAGUGUAGCGGUGAAAUGCGUAGAUAUUAGGAGGAACACCAGUGGCGAAGGCGGCUUACUGGACUGUAACUGACGUUGAGGCUCGAAAGCGUGGGGAGCAAACAGGAUUAGAUACCCCUGUAGUC
Molecule: ribosomal RNA, 440 nt
Filed under: uncultured bacterium
Lineage: Bacteria
Description: partial 16S ribosomal RNA
Rfam family: Bacterial small subunit ribosomal RNA
Source: RNAcentral